Long non-coding RNA from Branchiostoma floridae (Florida lancelet), 766 nucleotides. RefSeq lists it as uncharacterized. The record is from RefSeq and is a predicted model, not a curated record. The transcript is spliced from 3 exons. Lineage: Eukaryota; Metazoa; Chordata; Leptocardii; Amphioxiformes; Branchiostomatidae.
AGUUGUCGCGCUGCCGCCCGCUGUCCAUCUCAAACGGCACGUUCCUAUUGUUGACGUUGACGCCGACGUCCAGGUCUCCCUUCCCCGCACGGCUGGUGUCGACUGUGUUUUGGGGACGGGUAGGGUGGAACAACUCAGUAUUUAUGGAGCCCAUAGAAUGCGAUGGCCAAUUCUACGUAAUGGAGCUUCCGCGAUCUCAUCCCGACAUCAUCAGGAUUUCCUCCCUUGAAGAUACUCAGGUUCAAUACAUCACGUGUUGGGCAGGGGCGAGUUUUUACUUAGAACUGGGAAGAAACGUUAACGUAACGAUUCGGAGCUACAUACACGUCCCAAGUAAACGUUCAAUCCCUUAUAGUGCCAUGUGGCACAUAGGGCUGCAUGUUUUAGUAGCACGGUAUAUUUUUACGGGGAGAGGUUGAUAGCUCUUUACCUUUAACUUGCUCCUCUAACAAAGAAUCCCCAUACAUCUCCUCCGAAAAACGGGUUUACCUUAGAUGCCCUGCCCUGGAUUGAACCGGUUUAAAAGCAGUUGGUUUGAUGGUUUUUACAUCGGUCUAAACUAGAGUCUCAUAACCGAAACGGUGACGUAUUUCCAAAGACCGUGGAUUGCUUUAACUUCCAGUGUAACACGAAGAUUACCACCAAGAGUGGUCAAUUUCAAGCCGAGGAAGUCAAUAAUUUUUGUCGAAGUCUUUGGAUGUACUAUACAAAUCAACCAGAACGAUUGUCUAGGACACGCAGAUUUCCGUGCAUUGCAAUAUCAGAU